AUGAAGAACUACAUUCCAGCUAUACACGUGGAUGGGCAAGUCAUUACAGAUCAAGCCGGCAAGGCGGAGGCUUUCCUUAAUGCGUAUAACGCACUCCUAGGCAGGGACAAGGCACGGGAGCAUACUCUGGACUUAGAAUCUCUAUGUAUCAUUGCGGUGGACUUAUCUGAGCGGGAUCUAGUCUUCUCAGAGGAGGAAAUAUGGGCGGUAAUCAAAGAGAUGCCUUCAGAUAAGGCACCGGGUCCGGACGGCUUCAUUGGACUGUUUUUUCAAAAAGCUUGGGAGAUUGUCAAGGGAGAUCUGACUACGGCUCUACAUAAGCUGUUCAUUGGCAAUGGGGCUGGGUUUGGGAGGCUAAACCAAGCGCUCGUAACCCUAAUUCCAAAGUCACUGGAGGCAUGUAGCAUUAACGACUUCCGGCCGAUCAGUCUGGUUCACAGUAUGCCAAAGCUUGCUUCCAAGCUUAUGGCGAUAAGAUUGAGACCGAGGAUGGGAGAGCUAGUGCAUAUUAACCAGUUGGCUUUUAUUAAGGGCAGAAACAUACAUGAUAACUUUUUGCUGGUACGACAAAUGGCAUGUAGGCUGCACAAGAGGAAGGCCAAGGGUGUGCUGCUCAAGCUGGACAUAUCGAGGGCGUUCGACUCACUCUCAUGGCCUUUUCUUUUUGAGGUGUUGCGAGCAAAAUGGUUCUCGGAGUGA
This 699-nucleotide ribosomal RNA is filed under the name Triticum aestivum (bread wheat). Its description in RNAcentral is "partial small subunit ribosomal RNA". The record is from RNAcentral. Lineage: Eukaryota; Viridiplantae; Streptophyta; Magnoliopsida; Poales; Poaceae.